RNAcentral lists this ribosomal RNA (253 nucleotides) under uncultured bacterium. RNAcentral describes it as "partial 16S ribosomal RNA". It matches the Rfam family "Bacterial small subunit ribosomal RNA", at positions 524 to 776 of the family's 1533-position model. The record is from RNAcentral.
GACGUAGGGCGCGAGCGUUGUCCGGAUUUAUUGGGCGUAAAGGGUGCGUAGGCGGCGUGGUAAGUCGGAUGUGAAAUCUCGGAGCUUAACUCCGAAACUGCAUUCGAUACUGCCGUGCUUGAGGACUGGAGAGGAGACUGGAAUUUACGGUGUAGCGGUGAAAUGCGUAGAUAUCGUAAGGAAGACCAGUGGCGAAGGCGGGUCUCUGGACAGUUCCUGACGCUGAGGCACGAAGGUCAGGGGAGCAAACGGG